UACUGCUAUCAGUGUUCGAUUAAGCCAUGCGAGUUAAAUGUUCUUCGUGAACAUGGCGUACUGCUCAGUAACACGUGGAUAAUCUGCCCUAAGGUCCGGCAUAACCCCGGGAAACUGGGGAUAAUACCGGAUAAACCAUAGAUACUGGAAUGUUCUGUGGUUAAAAGUUCCGGCGCCUUAGGAUGGAUCUGCGGCCUAUCAGGUAGUAGUGGGUGUAAAGUACCUACUAGCCGACGACGGGUACGGGUUGUGAGAGCAAGAGCCCGGAGAUGGAUUCUGAGACAUGAAUCCAGGCCCUACGGGGCGCAGCAGGCGCGAAAUCUUUACAAUGCGGGAAACCGCGAUAAGGGGACACUGAGUGCCAGCAUAUUAUGUUGGCUGUCCACCUGUAUAAAUCACAGGUGUUAGCAAGGGCCGGGCAAGACCGGUGCCAGCCGCCGCGGUAACACCGGCGGCCCGAGUGGUAGCCACUAUUAUUGGGUCUAAAGGGUCCGUAGCCGGUUUGAUCAGUCUUCCGGGAAAUCUGACAGCUCAACUGUUAGGCUUCCGGGAGAUACUG
RNAcentral lists this ribosomal RNA (559 nucleotides) under uncultured archaeon. Its description in RNAcentral is "bacterial SSU rRNA". It matches the Rfam family "Archaeal small subunit ribosomal RNA", at positions 25 to 586 of the family's 1478-position model. The record is from RNAcentral.